GAAAGAUGCUGGAGUUCUGGCCGUGUGUGUGUGUGUGUGUGUAUAUCUUUUUUUCUUCUGAAGUUCAGCAUGCCUGACUUCGUCCUUAAAACCAGCAGAGAAUGGAGCUGGUUUUCAGCUGUUUUCUUGGAGGCCGAACAAUAAACCUCUUUGUGUACAAAAUACACAGAGAGAGAUCAGGAGAGAGAGAGAGAGAGAAGUAAGGGGAGGUAAGGGAGAAAAACCGGCCCUUCGGCCUUUCAGGGUGCGGCAGGGUUGGGUUUGGAAAGGGACCCUGCAAAGGCAAUAAUUUUGAAUCCUUUACAGUGGUACCUCGGGUUAAGUACUUAAUUCGUUCCAGAGGUCAGUUCUUAACCUGAAACUGUUCUUAACCUGAAGCACCACUUUAGCUAAUGGGGCCUCCUGCUGCCGCUGCACCUCCGGAGCACGAUUUCUGUUCUCAUCCUGAAGCAAAGUUCUUAAUCCGAGGUACUAUUUCUGGGUUAGCGGAGUCUGUAACCUGAAGCGUAUGUAACCUGAAACAUAUGUAACCCAAGGUACCACUGUACUGGGAAUUGAACGAGAUCUACACCCAGUAUAGGCCUGACCAGCCACUUUGUUCUACAGAACAGAGCUGUGCAUUUAGUUCACUCCACACUUGCAAGGAAUCCGUCUUUCAGGGUGGCAGGACCUAAUCUCUGGAACUCCCUGUCCCUUGAUAUUAGCAGGCGCCUUCGCUGUUUCUGGCGUUUGUCUAAAGACUGCAUUGCUUUCAGCAGGCCUAACCAGACGUGUAAUUUGGACCGGUAAUUAUAUUUUAUAAUGUUUGUUUUUUCAGAGCUGCUGAUUUUGCUUAUCUUUGGAUCCAUUUUGGGUUAGCUUCCUUUUACUGUUAGCUAAGUUCCGUUGCCAGUUCCAGCAGCCAAGCCCUUUUGAUAUUCUUGCAGAGCCUCCAUAUCCAGGCACAGUCUAUCUUGUUCCCUAGUUCUUAGGGGCAUUUUGGCCACUGUGAGAACAGGAUGCUGGACAAUGAUGGGCCAUUGGCCUGUUCAAGAACUGGGCUUUUCUGAUGUUCUUAAUUGUCUCCGCCAGUCCUUCUGGUACGCUGACAUUCUCCCCAAGCCAUAUUGAUAAGAAUGACCAGAAACUGUUUUUAUAUGCAACAACAGCCGCGAGGCUUUUACUGGCCCAGGUGUGGAAACAGCAACAAUUGCCAACAGUAGAAGAGUGGCAGUACAAGUUUAUGGAGUAUGCAGAAAUAGCCAAACUAACGGCAAAAAUUCGACAUCAGGGUAAUGAAACAUAUCAAAAAGAAUGGGGGAAAUUUAUGUUAUAUAUAGAGAAGAUGAUGUGAAAUAGGGAAAUCAGUAGAACCGAAAUAAACCUCAUAACGGGAAAAUACAAAGAAAUUUAUUGGACAAUAAUAUCAAAAUGAAUUAAAAAUGUAUAUUAUGACCAAGGUUGAACAGUAUUUGUAAAUGAAUAUAGACAAACAACAAGAAUUGUAUAUAUAGAAAGAUUUAUUUGUUUAUGGACAUUUCAUGGACAAAAAUUAAAGAACAACUAUAUACAAAAUGGAUAAAGACAAUGCGAAAAGAUAAAGACGACACAAAAAAGAUGGAAGAAGGAAGGAGGGAAGUCAGCUCUUGAGAGCAAGAAUAAAUGUAAAAUGUAAUAUAAUAUGUGUAUGUAUUUUUGUUUAGUCGUGUCCGACUCUUCGUGAUCCCAUGGACCAGAGCACACCAGGCACUCCUGUCUUCCACUGUCUCCUGCAGUUUGGUCAAACUCAUCUUGGUAGCUUUGAGAACACUAUCCAACCAUCUCGUCCUCUGUCGUCCCCUUCUCCUUGUGCCCUCCAUCUUUCCCAACAUCAGGUUCUUUUCCAGGGAGUUUUCUCUUCUCAUGAGGUGGCCAAAGUAUUGGAGCCUCAGCUUCAGGAUCUGUCCUUCCAGUGAGCACUCAGGGCUGAUUUCCUUCAGAAUGGAGUGAUUUGAUCUUCUUGCAGUCCAUGGGACUCUCAAGAGUCUCCUCCAGCACCAUAAUUCAAAAGCAUCAAUUCUUCGGCGAUCAGCCUUCUUUAUGGUCCAGCUCUCACAUCCAUACAUCGCUAC
Molecule: non-coding RNA, 2090 nt
Organism: Podarcis lilfordi (Lilford's wall lizard)
Lineage: Eukaryota; Metazoa; Chordata; Lepidosauria; Squamata; Lacertidae
Source: the annotation of a GenBank genome assembly